RNAcentral lists this ribosomal RNA (259 nucleotides) under uncultured bacterium. RNAcentral's name for it is "partial 16S ribosomal RNA". It matches the Rfam family "Bacterial small subunit ribosomal RNA", at positions 95 to 354 of the family's 1533-position model. The record is from RNAcentral.
CCGGCGCACGGGUGAGUAACACGUAUCCAACCUGCCGUCUACUCUUGGACAGCCUUCUGAAAGGAAGAUUAAUACAAGAUGGCAUCAUGAGUCCGCAUGUUCACAUGAUUAAAGGUAUUCCGGUAGACGAUGGGGAUGCGUUCCAUUAGAUAGUAGGCGGGGUAACGGCCCACCUAGUCUUCGAUGGAUAGGGGUUCUGAGAGGAAGGUCCCCCGCAUUGGAACUGAGACACGGUCCAAACUCCUACGGGAGGCAGCAG